RNAcentral lists this long non-coding RNA (201 nucleotides) under Bos taurus (domestic cattle). Its description in RNAcentral is "long non-coding RNA NONBTAT019115". The record is from RNAcentral. Lineage: Eukaryota; Metazoa; Chordata; Mammalia; Artiodactyla; Bovidae.
GGAUUCUGGGAUCCCCACAGAUGCCCUGGGGUGUCUGAAUCACGUCAAAUGUUGUCUGUGGAGACAUUUACAUAGGAGUGAUUUUUUUAAUUGAACAACACAUUUAAUGUGUGAUUGAAAAGGGCAGAGAACUUCACGAUGACACUGAGGAAACGACUGUCAGAAACGAGAUGAGCUAAUAAGAGGCGCGAUCUGUUCUGG